GGGACUGAGAUACGGCCCAGACUCCUACGGGAGGCAGCAGUGGGGAAUAUUGGGCAAUGGGCGCAAGCCUGACCCAGCAACGCCGCGUGAAGGAAGAAGGCUUUCGGGUUGUAAACUUCUUUUGUCGGGGACGCGGUACCUGACUAAGAAGCCCCGGCUAACUACGUGCCAGCAGCCGCGGUAAUACGUAGGGGGCAAGCGUUAUCCGGAUUUACUGGGUGUAAAGGGAGCGUAGACGGUUUUGCAAGUCUGGAGUGAAAGGCGGGGGCCCAACCCCCGGACUGCUCUGGAAACUGUAUGUCUGGAGUGCAGGAGAGGUAAGUGGAAUUCCUAGUGUAGCGGUGAAAUGCGUAGAUAUUAGGAGGAACACCAGUGGCGAAGGCGGCUUACUGGACUGUAACUGACGUUGAGGCUCGAAAGCGUGGGGAGCAAACAGGAUUAGAUACCUUGGUAGUCCACGCCGUAAACGAUGAUCACUAGGUGUCGGGCGGUGCCGCAGCCAACGCAAUAAGUGAUCCACCUGGGGAGCACGUUCGCAAGAAUGCAACUUAAAUGAAUUGACGGA
Molecule: ribosomal RNA, 565 nt
Filed under: uncultured bacterium
Lineage: Bacteria
Description: bacterial SSU rRNA
Rfam family: Bacterial small subunit ribosomal RNA
Source: RNAcentral